This 492-nucleotide ribosomal RNA is filed under the name uncultured bacterium. RNAcentral describes it as "partial 16S ribosomal RNA". It matches the Rfam family "Bacterial small subunit ribosomal RNA", at positions 30 to 507 of the family's 1533-position model. The record is from RNAcentral.
AUUGAACGCUGGCGGUAUGCCUAACACAUGCAAGUCGAACGGCAGCACAGUAAGAGCUUGCUCUUACGGGUGGCGAGUGGCGGACGAGUGAGGAAUACAUCGGCAUCUACUUUUUCGUGGUGGAUGACGUAGGGAAACUUACGCUAAUACCGCAUACGACCUACGCGUGAAAGCAUCGGAUCUUCGGACCUUGCGCGAGUGAAUGAGCCGAUAUCGGAUUAGCUAGUUGGCGGGGUAAAGGCCCACCAAGGCGACGAUCCGUAGCUGGUCUGAGAGGACGAUCAGCCACACUGGAACUGAGACACGGUCCAGACUCCUACGGGAGGCAGCAGUGGGGAAUAUUGGACAAAGGGCGCAAGCCUGAUCCAGCCAUACCGCGUGGGUGAAGAAGGCCUUCGGGUUGUAAAGCACUUUUGUUGGGAAAGAAAAGCAGUAGGUUAAUACCCCGCUGUUCUGACGGUACCCAAAGAAUAAGCACCGGCUAACUUCGUG